GCCAGGUGUGGGUGAUGCACACCUGUAAUCCCAGUGGCUUGGGAGGCUGAGGCAGGAAGAUUGCCAAAUUCAAGGCCAGCCUUAGCACCUUAGGGAAGCUCUAAGUAACUCUGGAGAUCCUGUCUCAA
This 128-nucleotide small RNA is filed under the name Marmota monax (woodchuck). The record is from RNAcentral. Lineage: Eukaryota; Metazoa; Chordata; Mammalia; Rodentia; Sciuridae.